This is a long non-coding RNA of Musa acuminata AAA Group (dessert banana), 1742 nucleotides long. RefSeq lists it as uncharacterized. The record is from RefSeq and is a predicted model, not a curated record. The transcript has 5 exons. Lineage: Eukaryota; Viridiplantae; Streptophyta; Magnoliopsida; Zingiberales; Musaceae.
GGUAUCCCGGCGGAUACGGCAGCGACGGAGGGCGAGAAAAGGAGGAGCUUGGCCUCGUCUAUCGUAUGCUUCUGUAUCCGGUGACACUCCGCCAUGGUCCUCCACAUGCUUGCUAACCUGCGCCGCAAUACAAAGGAAAGGGACUGCACGAGAUUCCUCCAUGUGUGAAGAUGUUGAAGGAGCCAUAGCAGCUGGAUUCAACAUCCUUGAAACUGUAUCAGAAGAUAAAAAUAACGAGGUUCCUACAUAUUAUUGUUAUCAGAGAGCAGGCUUGAUGUACCCACCUUGUAGCGAGGAUGAAGAGGGUUGAGUGCUGCUGACUUCGAAGAAUGUAGAGAGUUCACUAGCAGAAUUGCAAAUUCUGACAAAUUGGGCUUCAAUAUCCUUCAUGACCUCUCCCAUGCUUGUUGGUCUUCUGUUUAUGUAAACAGUGAAACCGGGAGUUUCCUGUGAGCUAUUUCUAUCUCUGACAAUUCCCUGAUCAUUAUCGAUUAGGAGUUCUGCUGCAUUUUGAGUUUCUGAUACUUCAGUACUCCUCUGCCAACCUUGCAACCAGAAUUCCUUCAUAUCAUCCAUAUUUUCUUUCUGUUUAUAGGCAUCAGCUGGUUGUUUACCAGCAGUGGGCUUAAUAUUAAUCUUACCCCCCUUCUUCAUUCGUGCCUUCUCAUUCUUGUCAGCCUGUCCUUCCAGUGCAGGUACCCCUUCAUCUUCCCAAAUCUUCCUUUGCCCAUGGGUAUUACCAUCAAGCAGAACCUCAUCAAGACUGUUCCCAUAGGAGUAUCCAUAAGAUGAGAAUGGGUUCCAAAAGAAGUCCAAUUGUGAAGCCUGAGGUGAUGCUGGUGGAUGCCUCAGUCUUUCAUAUGGUGAGGAGAGGAAUGAGGCAUCUGCAUCCGUGGUCGGAGCCUCUGCAGCAAAGUAUCCAUCGGCACCAUUCUGCCAUGCGAUAUAACAGCAUUCCUUGCUCUUAUUUGCUGGUGACUCAUGCCGUUCCUCCACGGAGAUCAGUGGAUUCCCUCCUGCUUUCAUGUAAUUCGGUGAAGAACAGGAAGUGAAGAAGAAAUUAUAUUCAUCACCAUCAACAUAAUUACGUAGAGCAAGGGAGACUCGCAUCAGAGACUGGAUGUAGGCAGUGUGGCCAUCAGCAAAUCGGUCUCUCUGCUCGAUAGCUUGUCUGAUGAAGUUCUUCCUGUCAUGGCAGAGCCGGACGGCAUCUUCAUCCUCCAGCUUGGAAGUCGAACAUCCCAUCUUCAACUUCAGCCUUGAACCCAAGACAGACUCAGUGUGGGUAAGCCAGUGAUGCUUCACUGAAGCUUUGCAAACUUAAAAAAGGAAGAGAAACAAUUUAUCAGAUGCUGUGCUUCUUCAAGUUAUGAAACAGAGCUAUCAAGGAAAUCAAGUUUAUCUACGGGAACAAAGCAACCCAUCCUUUUCAGGAUUUCUAGCCCAGACCUUGUCAAAAACACCAGAGAAAGGCGGUCAGGAGCUGAUGAAAAGAUCCAGAGGAGAGAAGUAACACUCAUGUCACUAGAUUUUCCAUGUAAAUCUUCACGGGAUUUCAAGAGACAAAUCCGAAGAGUGUUCCUGACAAUUUUAUGCAAAGAACGUCUACACAGCUCAAGGGACUGUCUGUUCUCGUGGGAAAGAACAAGUGAAGAACACACCAACAGAAUUUGGAAAAGCCAAGGGGGAAAAAGUGAGAUCUUGGACAUGCACGACGAGCAAAAGAGAGAAAAAGAUUCGGC